This 459-nucleotide ribosomal RNA is filed under the name uncultured bacterium. Its description in RNAcentral is "partial 16S ribosomal RNA". It matches the Rfam family "Bacterial small subunit ribosomal RNA", at positions 338 to 795 of the family's 1533-position model. The record is from RNAcentral.
CCUACGGGUGGCAGCAGUGAGGAAUAUUGGUCAAUGGGCGAGAGCCUGAACCAGCCAAGUCGCGUGAGGGAGUACUGCCCUAUGGGUUGUAAACCUCUUUUGUCGGGGAGCAAAAGCCGGACGUGUCCGGCUGUGAGAGUUCCCGAAGAAAAAGCAUCGGCUAACUCCGUGCCAGCCGCCGGGGUUAUAAGGAGGGAGCGAGCGUUAUCCGGAUUUAUUGGGGUUAAAGGGUGAGUAGGGGGGUUGUUAAGUCAGGGGUCAAAGGGCGGGGGCUAACCCCGGAACGGCGGUUGAACCUGGCAGUCUCGAGUUGAGGAGAAGUAUGCGGAAUUCGCGGUGUAGCGGUGAAAUGCAUAGAUAUCGCGCAGAACUCCGAUUGCGAAGGCAGCAUGCCGGCUCCACACUGACGCUGAGGCACGAAAGCGUGGGUAUCGAACAGGAUUAGAUACCCGUGUAGUC